This is a long non-coding RNA of Manis pentadactyla (Chinese pangolin), 813 nucleotides long. RefSeq lists it as uncharacterized. Lineage: Eukaryota; Metazoa; Chordata; Mammalia; Pholidota; Manidae. The transcript has 4 exons. The record is from RefSeq and is a predicted model, not a curated record.
AGCUGCUAUUUGUCAUCAUUAAGGGACUGGGCCAUUCUUCCUUCUCCUGUCCUCUAAUCACUGGCAGGGAAACUUGCCUGGAAAAAAUAGUGGGACAAAGAACAACUCAAAGUUCUGGACUUAGAAGGAACAGACUGACCGUGGUGACUGCAAGAGCAAAAGGACCACACAGUUUCCCGUUAUCCUGACACCAAGAAAGCUUGAAGAGCACCAUGAUUUAUAUACCCAUUACUCUGGGUACUGGCUUUACAUGGAUUAUUAACAAGUAUUAUCCCUUAUACCUACACGAUACAGCUCCUGUUUCCUGCUCUCAAGACUCCUCGGUUGAUUGAAAAGCUUGGAAAGCAAUGGGACCCAGCUAAGCACCAAUGAAGCACAACUGAGAAUUACACAAUCUUGGGUGAAACACUGAUAAACGGGAAGCAGGAACUAUAUUUACUGUGUGAUCCUACUGUGUGCAAGUGUCAUCCACGGCAUCUCACCUUAGCUGUAGGAAGUAAAUCAACUUAUCUUCCCGAGCUUGUCUUUCACUGCUGUGUGGAACAAUGGCAGAGAAAAUCUCAAAUUCUGAGAUAAUUAAACCUAUGUGGCUAACUUUAAUAAUUGAGGGAUAGAAGCCAGUGGCUACCUAUUUCUUCUGAAAUUCAGGAGAAUAAAUUAAGCACUUUCUAGCUGGUCGCUUCAAGGUAUCUAGCUAGAUAGAUCUCUAGUUCUCCACUGUUGUAACUAGCAUGAUAAUUUACUCUUAGAUUGGCUUGCUUUCUUCCCUUUUAUAACUUUCCCAUCCCCACUGCUAUUUCUGGGGAUCAUUUC